Molecule: non-coding RNA, 25 nt
Filed under: Rattus norvegicus (Norway rat)
Lineage: Eukaryota; Metazoa; Chordata; Mammalia; Rodentia; Muridae
Source: RNAcentral
UGAUACGUAUAUAUGUGAGGUGGGU